GACUGAGUGGCGAACUGGUGAGUAACACGUGGGUAACCUGCCCAGAAGAAGGGGAUAACACCUGGAAACAGAUGCUAAUACCGUAUAACAACAAGAACCACAUGGUUCUUGUUUGAAAGCUGGCCUUUGUGCUAGUGCUUCUGGAUGGACCCGCGGCGUAUUAGCUAGUUGGUGAGAUAAUAGCUCACCAAGGCAAUGAUACGUAGCAGACCUGAGAGGGUAAUCUGCCACAAUGGGACUGAGACACGGCCCAUACUCCUACGGGAGGCAGCAGUAGGGAAUCUUCCACAAUGGACGAAAGUCUGAUGGAGCAACGCCGCGUGAGUGAAGAAGGGUUUCGGCUCGUAAAACUCUGUUGUUAGAGAAGAACAGCCGUGAGAGCAACUGCUCACGGUAUGACGGUAUCUAACCAGAAAGUCACGGCUAACUACGUGCCAGCAGCCGCGGUAAUACGUAGGUGGCAAACGUUGUCCGGAUUUAUUGGGCGUAAAGGGAGCGCAGGCGGUUUAUUAAGUCUGAUGUGAAAGCCUUCGGCUUAACCGGAGAAGUGCAUCGGAAACUGAUAAACUUGAGUGCAGAAAAGGAUAGUGGAACUUCAUGUGUAGCGGUGAAAUGCGUAGAUAUAUGAAGGAACACCAGUGGCGAAGGCGGCUAUCUGGUCUGUAACUGACGCUGAGGCUCGAAAGCAUGGGUAGCAAACAGGAUUAGAUACCCUGGUAGUCCAUGCCGUAAACGAUGAAUGCUAGGUGUUGGAAGGUUUCCGCCUUUCAGUGCCGCAGCUAACGCAUUAAGCAUUCCGCCUGGGGAGUACGACCGCAAGGUUGAAACUCAAAGGAAUUGACGGGGACCCGCACAAGCGGUGGAGCAUGUGGUUUAAUUCGAUGCUACGCGAAGAACCUUACCAGGACUUGACAUCUUCUGCCAAUCUAAGAGAUUAGACGUUCCCUUCGGGGACAGAAUGACAGGUGGUGCAUGGUUGUCGUCAGCUCGUGUCGUGAGAUGUUGGGUUAAGUCCCGCAACGAGCGCAACCCUUGUCUUUAGUUGCCAGCAUUAAGUUGGGCACUCUAGAGAGACUGCCGGUGAUAAACCGGA
This 1093-nucleotide ribosomal RNA is filed under the name Fructilactobacillus sanfranciscensis. Its description in RNAcentral is "bacterial SSU rRNA". It matches the Rfam family "Bacterial small subunit ribosomal RNA", at positions 89 to 1167 of the family's 1533-position model. The record is from RNAcentral. Lineage: Bacteria; Bacillati; Bacillota; Bacilli; Lactobacillales; Lactobacillaceae.